This 322-nucleotide unclassified non-coding RNA is filed under the name plant metagenome. RNAcentral's name for it is "partial contains 5.8S ribosomal RNA, internal transcribed spacer 2, and large subunit ribosomal RNA". The stretch from base 1 to 104 matches the Rfam family "5.8S ribosomal RNA", at positions 51 to 154 of the family's 154-position model. The record is from RNAcentral.
AAAUGCGAUAAGUAAUGCGAAUUGCAGAAUUCAGUGAAUCAUCGAAUCUUUGAACGCACAUUGCGCCCGCUAGUAUUCUGGCGGGCAUGCCUGUCUGAGCGUCAUUUCAACCCUCAUUCCCGGCUUCGUGUCGGUGAUGGUGUUGGGGAUCGGCCUCCCGGUUGCGGGCGGCCGGCCCCGAAAUAGAGUGGCGACCACGCCGUAGCCUCCUCUGCGUAGUAGUGAAAACCUCGCAGGCGGAGAGCGGUGCGGCCUGCCGUAAAACCCCCAACUCUUCUAAGGUUGACCUCAGAUCAGGUAGGAAUACCCGCUGAACUUAAGC